UUUUUUUUUUUUUUCGUCUAAAUUUUUCUAUUAUAUUAUACGAUUGAGGAAUACAGGGGUGGAAUACGAUUUUAAUACACAAAGCCGGCGGAAGACAAAGAUAUCCCCGGAAACUAAGCCCAAACGAGGGAAGCAUAAAAAAGAACGGGGCAUAGCCCUCAACAGACGAAACAAAAGGCAACGACUAAAAACAAGACCUCUAAAAAAGAGAUUUGGUGACUUAAACUCCUCUAAACCAAGAUGAUCAAAGCCACUCACAAACAACGCAAGCAACGAAACCUCUUAUAGUGAAUCAAAACUACCUCUCACAUGAAGUGAACCUAGACUUCUAUUCCGGCAAGAACGAACCACGACAAAGAAUUAUAGUUCCACCAAACUUCUUCCGAAAGCGGCGAUGUCGAAAUCAACGACUUUUGAACGCCUAAGUAAAAGCCUUUGAACUGACCAGACCUCGAUCGAGUCUUGAAUGUAGAAACAAGGAGCGAAACCAACCUCAAAAUCGGAAGACACCAUACCCAGAAAAGCACAGCACAAGAUCGAACCGGAGAGACCACCAUAAAGACCAUAAGUAGAAAAGAGGAGCAAAUUCAAACAAAUCCAAUACAAAAGAGAGAACAAGCAAGUCAAAGCCACGCUCCGGACUAGUAACCAAAAUCAGAGAAUUAGGGGCAGUCAAACUUUAGAUCCGGAACAUACGACAUAGGCGUACGAACAAGCCGACGAAAUAGAGCCAACAUAAAGCCAUUCAUCCUCUGAUCCAGCCUAAGUCAACUAUUAAACCACCCGAACAACAACUAAACCAAAUACUUAGUCAACAAGACAAAUGAAGCUAAAGGAGCAGGUUACCGGAGUCAAUGACGCAAAGGAUCAGAAACUGGCGAAGCACACGAAGAAGCAGAUCCACCAACAACCAGAUCGGCGAGAAACUACAACGACGAGGAUACAAAACGACGAAGAUUAGAGCAGAUCCCGGAGCACAUAGACACCAAGGGGCCAGAUCUAAUUCCCCCACAACCAAAAUGACUCGCUGCCACUUUAACCUCGACAACAACCACACAUUGAACAACGGAGAAGACUGAAAAGAGGGCUAACGAAGCAAGGAAAAACCAACAAGAUCGUCUCACAGCUCCGGCGAGGAGCGCCGGAAACCGGAGAGGACAGAUCUAUAAAACGGACGAGACUUUUUCUGUGGCGGCUAGGGCGACUUCGAGAGAGAGAAAAGAAAACGAUACUGGCUACAUUAAAAAUGUGUAUAUGUAACAGCGUGGAAUUUAUUUAUUUAAAUU
This 1286-nucleotide long non-coding RNA is filed under the name Arabidopsis lyrata. Its description in RNAcentral is "long non-coding RNA (ALYR_LNC000666)". Lineage: Eukaryota; Viridiplantae; Streptophyta; Magnoliopsida; Brassicales; Brassicaceae. The record is from RNAcentral.